CUAUGGGUUCGGCUCCAUCGUGGGGCUUUGAGGGGAGGAGGUUGCAGGUGGUUACCUACCUCCGCGGCGACCGGUGCAUGGGGUGCGGUGGCGGUUGAAGGAGAUGGGGGGCACAGGCGGGCGAUCGCUGCGAGGAGUCGAGAAUCGCAAAGAGGGGAAAGCAGCGGCGACGAUCGGGACGAUGGGCGCUCGGAAGUGGCAGUGCCCCUUUCCUCGGAUCCGGAUGAGAUCGGCGACCGGGGACGCACGGGAGCGUGUGGAAGCGGGAUACGACGGAGCGUCGAUGAGUGAUCUGGCCACGGACGGCGACGCUGAGACGCAAUGGAGCGUGGCGGCUGGCGACGGGGACACGGGCGGAGCCUAGCGCGUCCUCCUCUCUUCCGUGCCUGGGUACGACCACGGUUGGCCAGUGGCUCAGGGAGAUCCUCUUCGUCGGGUCGCAGGGCACGCGGUUGGUGCUCUCGGCAGCGGUCGCGACGACGUUGGAGGUGUCGGACGUGCGCGGGGUGGGGUGGGGGAAUCGUCUUAGGGGCUUUUCCCUUGGGAGAAUGAUGGCCACGGGAACAGGGAUUCUUUUUUUUUU
Molecule: long non-coding RNA, 583 nt
Filed under: Phoenix dactylifera (date palm)
Lineage: Eukaryota; Viridiplantae; Streptophyta; Magnoliopsida; Arecales; Arecaceae
Description: long non-coding RNA (PDAC_LNC017795)
Source: RNAcentral